GCAAAAAAAAAAAAAGAAAAAGAGAAAGAAAAAGAAAAAGAAAAACAGCUCCC
RNAcentral lists this non-coding RNA (53 nucleotides) under Paramoeba aestuarina. Lineage: Eukaryota; Discosea; Flabellinia; Dactylopodida; Paramoebidae. The record is from RNAcentral.